GUCGGCUUCAUGGAGCCGCAUUUCGACCGCCUUGCUAUGUCUGUGUUGUUGCACAAAAGUCUGUGUUUCCAUUAAAAUGUCUGAGACGCCCCUUUUAUCACACUCCCUCCUGCUCACACUUCCUUUGUUUGCCGUCAUUCUCAUUCAGGGACAACCAAACUCCCCAUCUGCUCAAACUGAGGUGUGUUUAGGUUUCCUGUCAUGUUGAUCAGGUGAAGGUCAACCUGAGCAAAGGCCUAAUUCAUAAGCAACAGUGCACUGUUGUUUCCAGUCAGCGCUGCUCCGUCCUGCAUGUCAGGGUGUCACCUGUGCUUCUACACUCCUCUGCCGCCUUCUUCUCUGCCCUCUUUUCCUUUCUCUCCUCCCUCUGUCUCGUAUCUUUUCUGAACUGACUCUCAUUCCUGCACACAGACACACACAAGUCCUCAAAGAGAAUGGACUAGAAGAGAAACUGGCUUUUAUCCUCCUGAGGAUUAUUUGUUUUUUCCUCCAUAAUUUUCACCUUUUCCACUCACUUUGCCUUGAGUUUUAAUCUCUCUUUUCACCUCUUUCUGCAUCUUUUCUCUCCAUCACUUCCAUCCUCUCACCCUCUGAACCGAUCAACUGAUUGAUUUAUUUCUUGUUCCAUUUGGUUUUGUUCAUUUUCCAUCUAACACAUUUCAUGUCCUACCGCUCACCGGUCAUUGCUUUGCUGCUUAUUUUGGGUUUUGGUGAUGUAAUUUUGUAACUUCUGCCAUUUAUUGAAACCCGAGUGGCAGGUUAUUCAUGAGCAGUUUUUGCGUUUUGGACAAAGAGGAUAUGUAGAGCUGACUGAAUAACUGUGUGUGAUGUGUGAGCUACAGAGAGACUCGGCUCUAGACAAAUGCAUAGCACAGUGAAGCAAACCACACAGCUCAUGCUCUUGUCCAUCUCCUUUUUUAUAUUUCCACUUUUUUCCUGAAGGAGAUUUAAUGACUUUCCUCUUCAUUACAUGAAGAUAAUGGGAAGUGGGACUUCUGAGCAGCCGUCACCCUGAUAAAGCCACUCUGGAUAAUGCCGUUUUCCUGUGGAAUUACCCUUUAAAUUUUUUUAUUUUAUUCCAAAAGAAAAAAAAAUUAAGAAUCAUAAAAAAUAACUUCUAAAUUCUGGACUGUUUUUGACAUUUUUGUAAUGGACAGAAGCUGAACUCACUAUUUCUUUUUCCACUAUUGAAUCUUAAUGGGAUUUUACUAACGUGGAUUAAAGACUCAAGCAACAUCUUAGUUGGUGUAAUAGCUGUGAUUCUGACCAUUUCUCCAGCCUUCAAAUAGAUUAAAAGUAAUCUGUCACUGUUAAGGGUUAAAUAGUAACAGACCAGCGCACGUCAGAAAAUCCACCGUCUUCAGAAAGGACGUGAAGCUGCUCUCGUGGAGAACAGUCGCCUCCAAACUGCCUCUUUCUGCUUUCGACCCAAACUGAUUUCCCUCAGUCUGAGGCUAUGAGAGGGAGAGAGGAGGCCCAGGCUGCACCAUCAUGCUGCUUCUGAGACACUGGGAUGAGACUCUGGCUGGCAAAACACAAGGUAUUACUCUCCCACUCCUCCACCAUGCCUGUCUGUGGCUGCCGCAGGAUGUCCCCACCUCGCGGCCUUGCCGGGACCUUUUCCUCCAAACCCUCGGUCACCCAGGAGCAAGAGAGACAAGUCCGACCCUCACAUCCACCUGCAUUGCUCCACCACCGCACCAGCUCCUGUCUAUGUCUCUCCCUCCUUCUCCUGCUGCUCUGCCUUCUCCACCUCC
This is a long non-coding RNA of Monopterus albus (swamp eel), 1757 nucleotides long. RefSeq lists it as uncharacterized. The transcript has 4 exons. The record is from RefSeq and is a predicted model, not a curated record. Lineage: Eukaryota; Metazoa; Chordata; Actinopteri; Synbranchiformes; Synbranchidae.